GGAAAUUUUAGCACACCAAGAUAACUUGAGAGAUCUAGAUGUUAAAGUCCUUGAAGGCAGAAUUUACCCAAAAGUGUGAAGAUGGCAGAGCACCCAAGGAGCAUGGAAACUUUGAGCACUGACCUAGAGAGGAAAAACUUUAUCCCUGGUCAGCUUGAAGUAUUGCUCUGUAAACUGAUCCAUCCUGCUGAUUUUUCAAAGUCUGCAGAAGCCUGA
This 216-nucleotide long non-coding RNA is filed under the name Capra hircus (goat). RNAcentral's name for it is "lncRNA (ENSCHIG00000003832.1)". Lineage: Eukaryota; Metazoa; Chordata; Mammalia; Artiodactyla; Bovidae. The record is from RNAcentral.